This 354-nucleotide ribosomal RNA is filed under the name uncultured bacterium. Its description in RNAcentral is "bacterial SSU rRNA". It matches the Rfam family "Bacterial small subunit ribosomal RNA", at positions 917 to 1267 of the family's 1533-position model. The record is from RNAcentral.
GGACCCGCACAAGUAGUGGAGCAUGUGGUUUAAUUCGAAGAUACGCGCAGAACCUUACCAACACUUGACAUGUUCGUCGCGACUUUAAGGAUGAAUAAGUUUUCGGUUCGGCCGGACGAAACACAGGUGCUGCAUGGCUGUCGUCAGCUCGUGUCGUGAGAUGUUGGUUAAGUCCCGCAACGAGCGCAACCCUCACUUUUAGUUGCCAUCAUUAAGUUGGGCACUCUGAAAGAACUGCCAGUGAUAAGCUGGAGGAAGGUGGGGAUGACGUCAAGUCCUCAUGGCCCUUACGUGUUGGGCUACACACGUGCUACAAUGGGCGUAACAAAGGGUUUGCAAUCCCGCGAGGGGGAG